UACGUAGGGGGCUAGCGUUGUCCGGAAUCAUUGGGCGUAAAGAGCGUGUAGGCGGUCCGGUAAGUCCGCUGUGAAAGUCGGGGGCUCAACCCUGGAAUGCCGGUGGAUACUGUCGGGCUAGAGUGCGGAAGAGGCGAGUGGAAUUCCUGGUGUAGCGGUGAAAUGCGCAGAUAUCAGGAGGAACACCUAUUGCGAAGGCAGCUCGCUGGGACGUAACUGACGCUGAGACGCGAAAGCGUGGGGAGCAAACAGG
Molecule: ribosomal RNA, 253 nt
Filed under: uncultured bacterium
Lineage: Bacteria
Description: partial 16S ribosomal RNA
Rfam family: Bacterial small subunit ribosomal RNA
Source: RNAcentral